AUACGUAGGGAGCGAGCGUUGUCCGGAAUUACUGGGUGUAAAGGGAGCGUAGGCGGGAGUGCAAGUCAGAUGUGAAAUACAUGGGCUCAACCCAUGGGCUGCAUUUGAAACUGCAUUUCUUGAGUGAAGUAGAGGUAAGCGGAAUUCCUGGUGUAGCGGUGAAAUGCGUAGAGAUCGGGAGGAACACCAGUGGCGAAGGCGGGUAACUGGACUGCAACUGACGCUGAGGCGCGAAAGUGUGGGGAGCAAACAGGAUUAGAUACCCUGGUAGUCCACACUGUAAACGAUGAAUGCUAGGUGUAAGAGGUAUCGACCCCUUUUGUGCCGCAGUCAACACAAUAAGCAUUCCGCCUGGGGAGUACGGCCGCAAGGUUGAAACUCAAAGGAAUUGACGGGG
This 397-nucleotide ribosomal RNA is filed under the name uncultured bacterium. Its description in RNAcentral is "partial 16S ribosomal RNA". It matches the Rfam family "Bacterial small subunit ribosomal RNA", at positions 523 to 918 of the family's 1533-position model. The record is from RNAcentral.